RNAcentral lists this long non-coding RNA (231 nucleotides) under Lathyrus oleraceus (garden pea). RNAcentral describes it as "Pisum sativum (pea) long non-coding RNA (PSAT_LNC017279)". The record is from RNAcentral. Lineage: Eukaryota; Viridiplantae; Streptophyta; Magnoliopsida; Fabales; Fabaceae.
AUUUGACCUCUAAGCAACUCAAUCUUCUUGCCUACAUUGGUAGGACUUCAGACAACCAAAGAUCCAAGAGAAUUGAGUAGAAUUGAGUGAGAAUCGAAGAGAUUUCAAUUUGACCUCUAAGCAACUCAAUCUUCUUGCCUACAUUGGUAGGACUUCAGACAACCAAAGAUCCAAGAGAAUUGAGUAGAAUUGAGUGAGAAUCGAAGAGAUGAAGUUUUCUGAAAAUUACCU